RNAcentral lists this ribosomal RNA (256 nucleotides) under uncultured bacterium. RNAcentral's name for it is "partial 16S ribosomal RNA". It matches the Rfam family "Bacterial small subunit ribosomal RNA", at positions 524 to 776 of the family's 1533-position model. The record is from RNAcentral.
UCCGGAGGGUGCGAGCGUUGUCCGGAAUCAUUGGGCGUAAAGGGUGCGCAGAUGGCUUGGUAAGUUAGCGGUGGGAAAUCGAGGCUCAACCUCGUGGAAGCCGGUAAUACUAUUAGGCUUGAGUGCAGGAGAGGUUAACGGAAUUCCAUGUGGAGCGGUAAAAUGUGUAGAUAUAUGGAAGAACAUCAAUAACGGCGAAGGCAGUUAACUAUUCUGCUACUGACAUUGAGGCACGAAAGCGUGGGGAGCAAAACGG